GACGAGCGCUGCGGGCGGCCUUAACACUUGAAGUUCGACCGGGAACGCGGGAGCUUUGUCCCUUCGGAUCAGGGGCGAACGGGGUGGUAACACGUGGGCAACUUCCCCCGAACUUUGGGUUAAGCGUUGGAAACGACGCUUAAUACCGGAUACGACGCGGGCUGGCUGCCGUUCCGCGGGGAAAGAACUUCGGUUCGGGAUGAGCCCGCGGCCUAUCAGCUUGUUGGUGGGGUAACGGCUCACCAAGGCGACGACGGGUAGCCGGCCUGAGAGGGUGACCGGCCACACUGGGACUGAGACACGGCCCAGACUCCUACGGGAGGCAGCAGUGGGGAAUAUUGCACAAUGGGCGCAAGCCUGAUGCAGCAACGCCGCGUGAGGGACGACGGCCUUCGGGUUGUAAACCUCUUUUAGCAGGGAAGAAGCGAAAGUGACGGUACCUGCAGAAAAAGCACCGGCUAACUACGUG
RNAcentral lists this ribosomal RNA (469 nucleotides) under uncultured bacterium. RNAcentral describes it as "partial 16S ribosomal RNA". It matches the Rfam family "Bacterial small subunit ribosomal RNA", at positions 28 to 507 of the family's 1533-position model. The record is from RNAcentral.